AGUGAACGCUGGCGGUAGGCCUAACACAUGCAAGUCGAACGGCAGCACAGUAAGAGCUUGCUCUUACGGGUGGCGAGUGGCGGACGGGUGAGGAAUACAUCGGAAUCUACUUUUUCGUGGGGGAUAACGUAGGGAAACUUACGCUAAUACCGCAUACGACCUACGGGUGAAAGCAGGGGAUCUUCGGACCUUGCGCGAUUGAAUGAGCCGAUGUCGGAUUAGCUAGUUGGCGGGGUAAAGGCCCACCAAGGCGACGAUCCGUAGCUGGUCUGAGAGGAUGAUCAGCCACACUGGAACUGAGACACGGUCCAGACUCCUACGGGAGGCAGCAGUGGGGAAUAUUGGACAAAGGGCGCAAGCCUGAUCCAGCGAUACCGCGUGGGUGAAGAAGGCCUUCGGGUUGUAAAGCCCUUUUGUUGGGAAAGAAAAGCAGCAGGUUAAUACCCCGCUGUUCUGACGGUACCCAAAGAAUAAGCACCGGCUAACUUCGCG
Molecule: ribosomal RNA, 492 nt
Filed under: uncultured bacterium
Lineage: Bacteria
Description: partial 16S ribosomal RNA
Rfam family: Bacterial small subunit ribosomal RNA
Source: RNAcentral